Molecule: ribosomal RNA, 191 nt
Filed under: Thraustochytriidae sp.
Lineage: Eukaryota; Bigyra; Thraustochytrida; Thraustochytriidae
Description: Thraustochytriaceae sp. partial small subunit ribosomal RNA
Rfam family: Eukaryotic small subunit ribosomal RNA
Source: RNAcentral
ACACUGUUCAUGUGGGCAGCAGCACAUGAGAAAUCAAAGUCUUUGGGUUCCGGGGGGAGUAUGGUCGCAAGGCUGAAACUUAAAGGAAUUGACGGAAGGGCACCACCAGGAGUGGAGCCUGCGGCUUAAUUUGACUCAACACGGGAAAACUUACCAGGUCCAGACAUAGGAAGGAUUGACAGAUUGAGAGC